Long non-coding RNA from Chlorocebus sabaeus (green monkey), 704 nucleotides. RefSeq lists it as uncharacterized. NCBI's taxonomy places the organism in Eukaryota, Metazoa, Chordata, Mammalia, Primates, Cercopithecidae. The record is from RefSeq and is a predicted model, not a curated record.
ACCCUUGCUGCAGGGUAGGGGGCCAAAGGGGGGUCUCGCGCACGCGCGCGCGCGGGAGAUCGAGGCGCCCGCGCUAGGUUAGUGCGAGACCCCGCCGGCUUGAGGCGGGGGCUGAGCGCGGGCCAAGUCCAAGUGCGCAAGCCCAGAUCUUGGCGCGCCCCUGAGGAGUUUCUGUGGGAAGAUUUUCUGUUUUCCAGGUUUCCCAAGGGAAACGAAGAAAGAGAGUGGGAGAAUCGAUGACUGGACCUCUAAUAGAUGUUGGACGACUUAAAAAAAAAAAAAAAAAGUAUCGGCCCUACCCUCGAGGAUUUGACAAAUUAAGCUGGCCAGAGUGAUAAGAGAUACAGGCAGAAGAGGAGACAUAGAGGGGAAGGUGACAUGAAAAGGGAGGCAGAGAUCACAGUGAUGUGGCUAUAAGCCAAGGAAUACCAAAGCCAUCAGAAGCUGGAAGAGGACAGCACUGAAUUUGUGCCUCACAAUUGUUGUGCUGUCCCUUCCCCAAUGCCCAGAGAUGCUCCACUCCACACUGCUGCUGGGGAGUUGGGGAGAGGUAGUGUCAGUGAUUCAAGAUUUUCUUCCACCUCUGCCAUCUCUGAGACAACAAGACCAACCCCUUCUCUUCCUCCUCCUCAGCCUACUCAACAUGAAGACAAGGAUGAAGAUCUUUAUGAUGAUCCAUUUCCACUUAAUGAGUAGUAAAUACA